GUGGGCAUAGCUCAGCUGGUUAGAGCGCUGGACUGUGGCUCCAGAGGUCGAGGGUUCAAAUCCCUCUGUCCACCCCA
This 77-nucleotide transfer RNA is filed under the name bacterium. Its description in RNAcentral is "tRNA-His". It matches the Rfam family "tRNA". Rfam says of the family: Transfer RNA (tRNA) molecules are approximately 80 nucleotides in length. Their secondary structure includes four short double-helical elements and three loops (D, anti-codon, and T loops). The record is from RNAcentral.